This 350-nucleotide long non-coding RNA is filed under the name Bos taurus (domestic cattle). RNAcentral's name for it is "long non-coding RNA NONBTAT005539". Lineage: Eukaryota; Metazoa; Chordata; Mammalia; Artiodactyla; Bovidae. The record is from RNAcentral.
UGUUAAAAUUUACUAGUUUAGAACAUGGUUCAAAUAAUAAAAUUUAGUGAUGCAUAGAAGGGGACGAAGUCCGAUUUAAAAUGCUUACCUGAGUGUACAGCAGUACUUUCAGCAUACUGUUGGAGAGAGUAUUUAUUCAGCGGUGGCUCCAUUGUAUUAGAAGGCACUAAAUAGCCUAACAGAGUUACCAUUUUAAUUCUAGGUAGGCAUAUUAUUAACUCAAGCAGGCUGUUUUGACAAGUACUUUUUAAGCCCUAGGGUUCACUGUAAUAUUUUGCUAGAUUAAUAUAUGAAAAUGAAUACGUAUUUAGUUUGCUUUAAUUGUGUAAUAAAGUUGAAAUAAAUGCUGU